This 434-nucleotide ribosomal RNA is filed under the name uncultured bacterium. RNAcentral describes it as "bacterial SSU rRNA". It matches the Rfam family "Bacterial small subunit ribosomal RNA", at positions 954 to 1392 of the family's 1533-position model. The record is from RNAcentral.
GCAUAACGCGAAGAACCUUACCUAGACUUGACAUCUCCUGAAUUACUCGUAACGGAGGAAGCCUUUCGGGGCAGGAAGACAGGUGGUGCAUGGUUGUCGUCAGCUCGUGUCGUGAGAUGUUGGGUUAAGUCCCGCAACGAGCGCAACCCUUAUUGUUAGUUGCUACCAUUAAGUUGAGCACUCUAACGAGACUGCCGCGGUUAACGUGGAGGAAGGUGGGGAUGACGUCAAAUCAUCAUGCCCCUUAUGUCUAGGGCUACACACGUGCUACAAUGGCCGGUACACAAGAUGCAAUCCCGUGAGGGGGAGCUAAACUCAAAAGACCGGUCCCAGUUCGGAUUGUAGGCUGAAACUCGCCUACAUGAAGUUGGAGUUGCUAGUAAUCGCGAAUCAGCAUGUCGCGGUGAAUACGUUCCCGGGUCUUGUACACACCG